Molecule: ribosomal RNA, 253 nt
Filed under: uncultured bacterium
Lineage: Bacteria
Description: partial 16S ribosomal RNA
Rfam family: Bacterial small subunit ribosomal RNA
Source: RNAcentral
UACGUAGGGGGCAAGCGUUGUCCGGAUUUAUUGGGCGUAAAGAGCGUGUAGGCGGUCAGGUAGGUCCGUUGUGAAAACUCGAGGCUCAACCUCGAGACGCCGAUGGAAACCAUCUGACUAGAGUCCGGAAGAGGAGAGUGGAAUUCCUGGUGUAGCGGUGAAAUGCGCAGAUAUCAGGAAGAACACCCGUGGCUAAGGCGGUUAGCUGGGGUCGGACUGACGCUGAGGCGCGACAGCGUGGGGAGCAAACAGG